This 332-nucleotide non-coding RNA is filed under the name Chondria sp. (in: red algae). Lineage: Eukaryota; Rhodophyta; Florideophyceae; Ceramiales; Rhodomelaceae. The record is from RNAcentral.
GGGACUGAUUCGGUUUCUACGUAUUGAAUUGUAUUUAAUUAAUAGUUGAUUUAUGAUUGUACUUUUUUUAAACGCAAAAAAUAAUAUUUUAUCUUUUUCUAAAAAUUUAGUUAACGUAUAAAUUUUGGAACAUUAAAUUAUUCUUUUUUACUUAAUUUGAUGUAUUCAGUAUAAUGCUCUCAUUGUUGAUUUCUAUAUAACAAAUAGCAUCUUAAUGAGUUAAGUAUACAUUAAAUGAAAAUCAUUAAGUUUUAAGUUAUUGAAAAUCAACUUGUAUAUAAAUUUAAUAUAUAAUAUCAAUACGGACGUGGGUUCGAAUCCCACCAGUUCCA